UGAAACACGACAAAACGUUAGACGCUAAACGCAUCAAAUCCCGGCAUUGCUGUCACGAUGGCCAUUGAAGCUUGGAGACGUCAAGAAACGCAAGCUAAAUGUUUUCAUUAUGAGCUUCUUGCCAUUCCAGUUUACUUAACCAAUCAUUGGAUAGAAGUUAUUAUAGAUAUAGUUCAUCAAGCCUUUCUUGUCUUUGACUCGCUUGGAAAGAAGCACGAACAAGUUGUUUUUGACUUGAAACUGUGGAUUACGGAUGUGUACCGUUUAGUCAAUGGAUCGACUCUAGAUGUAACCGACUCGUCGUUGAUAUACCCAAUACCUCAAAAUUAUCCGCAACAAACCGAUCCAUUUAAUUGUGGAAUAUGGACUUGUGUGAACAUGCUUUCAGCAGCUGUGGACAAUCCUCGUGUAGCCAGCAACGUAUGGCAGAUUUGGAGUGAAUUCAGAUGCGAAAAGUAAACCUUAUUCACCAGGCGAACACCUUACAGCUAAUGACUCUUUAACGGUAUCAACACUGCAAAAAAAUUCAGAUACACACUGUAUCUAUUUGGACAUAUGGUUAUCACUAAUCUGCUUAUGCAAGGUAUCGUUCAAGCCAGGAAAAGUACUCUUUUCUGUUGAAGGCACAACAGAUCCCGACAGAUCAAGCAGCUAUUCUCCGAAGGUUCAUACAUUGUGUAUUGUGUUUCUGUGUUCCAUACGUUCCUUGUUGUUGUUAAACAGAAAGUCAAAGAAAGGAAACUGAUAAAACGUGAUUAUAAUAUUAGAUCGUCUGCAAAACGGAAAAGAACAG
Corticium candelabrum is the source of this 793-nucleotide RNA transcript. It is a transcript of the gene named sentrin-specific protease 2-like, with no coding region annotated. The transcript has 8 exons. The record is from RefSeq and is a predicted model, not a curated record. NCBI's taxonomy places the organism in Eukaryota, Metazoa, Porifera, Homoscleromorpha, Homosclerophorida, Plakinidae.